ACCCUGAGGAGUUAUGGACGUUACACAUCGACGGCUCAUCAAAUGCUUCCGGAGCUGGGGCUGGAUUGAUCUUAAUCGAUCCUGAAGGUGAUGUUGCGGAAUACGUAUUACACUUUGAAUUUUCAACCACCAACAAUGAGACAAAAUAUAAAGUUCUACUUGCUAGACUCAAGGUGGUGAGAGAAAUGGGAUCCCAGUGCCUGAAGAUC
This 209-nucleotide long non-coding RNA is filed under the name Elaeis guineensis (African oil palm). Its description in RNAcentral is "long non-coding RNA (EGUI_LNC004417)". Lineage: Eukaryota; Viridiplantae; Streptophyta; Magnoliopsida; Arecales; Arecaceae. The record is from RNAcentral.